GCCUCGAUACGUAUCGAUACACUCCAAAUUCUUCCUUGAAAAUCUUGAUUGUUACCGUACGUCCGCGUGGUUCAUUUAAUUUCGUUCGUCGAAGAUCAUUAAAUUCAUUGUAUCGAUUGCUUAAGUCGACAACUCCGUUUGAUUAUUAUUAAUUUUGGUUUACUGUAUAGUGCGUUUUAUGCCAUGUUCUAAUAUUGUGUUGCGUUUAUUAAAAUAUUUAAUGUAAAAUGUCUGACAAUUUUGUUUUAAAUAUUUUAAAUGAAUUGAAAGUUCCGGAUUUCCUUAUUGAAGAAUUCCAAAAACAAGGAAUCGACGAAGAAGCCUUCAAAGGUUUAACCGAUUAAUGGUACAUGAAUUGGUUCCGCUCAUAGGAUUCCGUAUCAAGAUAUUCAAAAAGAUUGAAGAGUUAAAAUCGUUUAACCCUAUAAAUUCUUCGUUUUUAAAAUUGGUGUUUUUAGGCACACUUGUUCGCGACCUACCUCUAUGCAAAUGGUGUAAAAUAUGAUCAAACGGAUACAAGCCGCAAGGUCUCGGAACUCGGAAGUCCUGCGGCGAUGACGCAGCAUUCGAACGCAAGGGAAAUAACAAAACUAAAAUCAUUGGUAAAUAUGGAAAAUCGCGUCAUCGAAAUGAUACUAUAUGGCAUUGCGCGUGACCACUAACAUUUAUAUUUGUCUAAUGACGUGCUCCGUAGACAGGCAGGUAUUCUUGCAGUAUAGUAUACGGUAGUAUAGGUAAGUAUAUGAUGCAGUAUAUAAUCUUUUCAGACGACUUUCCCGGGGACGCGCCAAACAUGGAUCGAUCCAGCAGUAGCAGCUAUACAUUCGAAAAUCCCAUUUAGGUAACGUCAAUGUAAUUAUAUUAUUCACCCGUAUAGAUACCCACGGGGUAUAGGUUUAGUCAUCAUCAAUAUAGUACCCAUUAUACCUACCAAUAGCCUAUAGGUCAGUAUUACUAUAGUUAUUAUUAUAGGCACCUAUUUGUAGACGCUUUGAAUUUUUAGCAUCGUUCUUACCCCUGCAGGCAGUAUAUACUACUUGUAUAAUUAAUAAUUAUUAUAUAAUACAUAUACCUAUAUCAAUAUUCAAUACACGUAUCAAUGUAUCAUUGAUAUUCGGGAGCUAUUUUAUGCAUAUUUUGUCAUUGUCCGUCUUCGCGCAAUUGCUCAAAUUUGCACCUAUCGUUACUUCGCACAUUUCGGAUUCUAUAAGAUAAUUGUAUGCAUUGGUUUUAAAAUUAAGCUUUUUUGUUGAGUGAGACCGUCAUCACUUUUUAGAGCAGUACAAGUGAUGCUUAAAUCUUCAACUAUUUGAGUGUGAUUACGGGAUUGGUAGCAGUGGAUGAUGGUUUUAAUUAUUAGUGUACUUUAUUUUGCAAUGGCGUAGCCAUGAGCUUGUUUUUUGGAUCCUCGGGGAGGCUGAGAUUUAACUAUAGGAUCACUAUUAUUCCAUAAUACGUUUGGUAUGCUGAUGCUGGGGUCGUGGCCUUAUAAUAUUUUACUUUUGCAGCAAUAUUCAUAAAAAAUUACAAUUUUAAUACGGAAGCUUACCGAUUGUACUUACAAUUACCUUUUCAUAUACCUACCAGUUGCGCCCGGUCUUUCAUCUGGGUCGAUAGACCAAUUGCGCUUGAUAAUUCAUUUUAUUCAAUAGU
Long non-coding RNA from Myzus persicae (green peach aphid), 1653 nucleotides. RefSeq lists it as uncharacterized. NCBI's taxonomy places the organism in Eukaryota, Metazoa, Arthropoda, Insecta, Hemiptera, Aphididae. The transcript is spliced from 3 exons. The record is from RefSeq and is a predicted model, not a curated record.